RNAcentral lists this ribosomal RNA (512 nucleotides) under uncultured bacterium. RNAcentral's name for it is "bacterial SSU rRNA". It matches the Rfam family "Bacterial small subunit ribosomal RNA", at positions 28 to 524 of the family's 1533-position model. The record is from RNAcentral.
GACGAACGCUGGCGGCGUGCCUAAUACAUGCAAGUCGAGCGGACCAAAGGGAGCUUGCUCCUGGAGGUCAGCGGCGAACGGGUGAGUAACACGUGGGCAACCUGCCUGUAAGACUGGGAUAACAUCGAGAAAUCGGUGCUAAUACCGGAUAAUAAAAAGAACUGCAUGGUUCUUUUUUGAAAGAUGGUUUCGGCUAUCACUUACAGAUGGGCCCGCGGCGCAUUAGCUAGUUGGUGAGGUAACGGCUCACCAAGGCAACGAUGCGUAGCCGACCUGAGAGGGUGAUCGGCCACACUGGGACUGAGACACGGCCCAGACUCCUACGGGAGGCAGCAGUAGGGAAUCUUCCGCAAUGGACGAAAGUCUGACGGAGCAACGCCGCGUGAGUGAUGAAGGUUUUCGGAUCGUAAAACUCUGUUGUUAGGGAAGAACAAGUGCGUUCGAAAGGCGGCACCUUGACGGUACCUAACGAGAAAGCCACGGCUAACUACGUAGCCAGCAGCCGCGGUAAA